UCCCCUUUACUGAUGCUUGAUGAAGUACUGCUGGAUACUGAGGGGAGCUGGUCAGCAGGCGUUUGGACAGAAUCAACUCUAAAAGAUGACUACAGAUUUAUAAAGUGUGUUUAAAAGUAGCAGCUUCCUCCUCUCUACAACCUCAUCAUGAGUGAGAGCAAACUUGUCAAGUAUCUGUAAAUGGAAGUGGAUAAAACCAUUAAUGUAAAUGGAUACCGCAGCCAGAUGAGCAGCUCCUGAGUCUCCAAUCUGAUUGUUAGACAGUGAGAGAAAGAGCAAGG
This is a long non-coding RNA of Monopterus albus (swamp eel), 281 nucleotides long. RefSeq lists it as uncharacterized. The record is from RefSeq and is a predicted model, not a curated record. NCBI's taxonomy places the organism in Eukaryota, Metazoa, Chordata, Actinopteri, Synbranchiformes, Synbranchidae. The transcript has 3 exons.